This is a long non-coding RNA of Halichondria panicea, 2668 nucleotides long. RefSeq lists it as uncharacterized. The transcript is spliced from 3 exons. Lineage: Eukaryota; Metazoa; Porifera; Demospongiae; Suberitida; Halichondriidae. The record is from RefSeq and is a predicted model, not a curated record.
UGCACUGCACUACAUGUAGUACUACUGCACUGUACUGGGGACUGGACAACGCAGCUGGUUGGUACAAGGUGGAGAGUAGUGCUAGUGAUCAGUAGAAUCAUGACUUCCCGAACAGUGAUCACAAUAGAGAAUUUCUUGUGAGGAAAUUUGAAGAAGGGAUGCACAGUUGUGGACAGAAUACUCUGAAUGCUCGACAAGCUGUACUGAGACUGGCUUGACAUUAAAUACUAUAAACGUGAGAUUGACCUGUCAACAUUGGUAUCAGGAUGAUAUACAUGCAGUCUCUAAAAUUGAGUCUGGUCAUGCUAUAUGCGAUAUGCUCUAUAGUCAGUAUGAUAUAGUCAGGCUAGUCACUGUGUGCACAUUGCUAGUCGGCUAGUCUGUAUGUACGUUGCUUAGUAACAGUAUUGAUCAUAGUCAACUGGUUAGUUACCUUGUAGGCUGACGUCACGUGACCAAAAUUGCAGAAAGCGCAAUGCUUUCUUGGCAUAUACUGUUUUAGGAUCUUUUUUGAACAUAAGCAGUCACUUAGAGAUGUAGAGAGUAUUUGUAUAGCUAGAAAGUAAUUGUGUAUAGGAUUACUUUAAUUAAAAAUCGGGAUAAGUUGUAACAGUUAUGUCGACUUUUUAAUUAAGGAGUCUUGAGCUUGCUUGUAGCUUUACCUUGGAUGCCUUAGACUUCUUUUUAGGUAUGUGGUCCAUAUCUGAUACCUAUACGUCAAAAAUGUACAUUGUCACUAACAAGCUGUCAUCAAAUACAUGCAUUUGUAAUUAAACUUCGUCUAGCCCCUAUAUACAAUUAAUUUCUAGCUAUACAAAUACUCUCUACAUCUCUUACCGUCUGCUUAUGUCCAAAAAAGAUCCUAAAAAAUUGCCAAGUAAGCAUUGCGCUUUGGACAGCAAUUUUGGUCACGUGACCAGUUAAUUGCGUUUUACCUCUGCCUUUUUACUAGCAUUUGCGUGAGAGUUGAGUAAAUUACCAGUAUAUUGAUCGUAGAGUCAACAUAGUUUAUUAUAAAGGGUUAAUAAAUAGAAGAGGGCAUGCAACAGCUUGCGAGCAAAAACUGUAAGUGCAUGGGCGGUGGAAUUUACUGGAAAAGUACAAACUACUUCUGAUUUUGUGUAAAGUACGUGUGCAGAUAGCUAUAAAAUAAAUUGAAUGCAGUUUUGCUCGCACAUUAAACUAAUAGUGAGUUGCAUGCCCUCUUCUCUUUAUCAGCCCUUGCAGCUAAUUAAGGUACAGAUGUUUUCACAGUUCACCCUGUACACAUCACCUGCUGUAAAGACUAGCAGUAUUGAUUGUAGUCAAGCAUUGGUUACUCUUAGGCUGUAGCCUGACACAUGUAGCUACUACUUGGUAGUAGCAUUGAUUGCAGUCAAUAUUGGUUAUGUGUAUACACGCUGCCUUAGUAUUAUAUGGACUUUAAUUGUAUUUGUAACAUGUACAUGCAGUCGGUAUUGGUUACACAUGAGAUGGCUUUAGCUUUGUCCAAUUAUUUAGUCUGGGAUCAUUAAUUAGUGUGUGUGUGUGUGUGUGUGUGUGUGCGUGCGUGCGUGCGUGCGUGCGUGCGUGCGUGCGUGCGUGCGUGCGUGCGUGCGUGCGUGCGUGCGCGUGUGUGUGUGUGUAAGUACAAUGCAGUAGCAAACGAUAUUGAGGGUAGCAAUGAGGAGGAGGAUGAGGAGGAACUAACGCCGGAAAAGAAGAGGCAGCUCAUUGUUCGGGUUGCUAAGAGACAUCAGGGAGAUGCCAAUCUGCUGCAAUCACUUGGUUGUGAGAUGGCUACAAUGAUGUUUGUUGAUAAAAAGGUUUUAAGUGUGGGAACCACAGAUGGGAAAAAUUUCUUCAAUCUCACCCUGCAAUCCUGUCAUCCUUCAGCUCCUACUUUCUGUAUGAUGACUUGUCCAAGAAACAAUUUGCUACCCCAGCCACUGCAGCCUCGGCAAGUACAACCAGUCUCAACACAAAUUCCAGCUCAUUCAAUGUUACCUCAACAAACGUAAACCCAAUCAACACCACCUCAUCUACUACAUCCAAAGCUGUUAUUUCCACUGUGAAGAAAUCAACCACUAAAACUACAACCAAAGCAACACCUUCUGGAAUCUUGUCCAAUCAAGCUAUUUCUAACACUGAUACCGUCAGUACGAUUUUUAUGAAAGGCAGAGAUGGAAGUAUUGUUGCGACAGGUACAGUGCUUCCUGGUGUACAUAAAACCAUUCAUGGUCGUCCUUGCCAAAAAGAUUGUGAAACGCUUUCCGUUGUGGAUGUUGUACAAGUUGGUGCUGAAGCUUGGUUUGAAGAUGCUUUUGGGGAAAAUAAAUUGAGCACAGGGAUCAUCGUGGAAUGGCCGAGCAGUAUGAUAUCAAACGUAGCUGAUGUCUCCCCACUUCAUACAAGAACUAAUCGCAAACGUAAAUAACCAGCUGACUAUAAAACUACUAUGAUAAUUGUUAUAAUUAUUGUAUAUACAAUUGUAAUAGGAAUGGUAAAGGUUUCCUUCCAUUUUAUUCGCGAUUCUAUAUUCUCUCUAUCUUGUGUACUGUAUACGUAAGUAAGAUUACGUUAUUAUUGUUUGUACGUACGUAUAUAAUUAUGUAUGUACAAUUGUAUGUAUGACAUAGAUAAUAAUUUAUGUCCGAGUUUAGGACUAUAUAUAUAAUUGUCAAAACUA